RNAcentral lists this ribosomal RNA (301 nucleotides) under uncultured bacterium. RNAcentral describes it as "partial 16S ribosomal RNA". It matches the Rfam family "Bacterial small subunit ribosomal RNA", at positions 509 to 809 of the family's 1533-position model. The record is from RNAcentral.
CAGCAGCCGCGGGAAUACGUAGGGUCCGAGCGUUGUCCGGAAUUAUUGGGCGUAAAGGGCUCGUAGGCGGUUUGUUGCGUCGGGAGUGAAAACCUACAGCUUAACUGUGGGCUUGCUUUCGAUACGGGCAGACUUGAGGCAUUCAGGGGAGAACGGAAUUCCUGGUGUAGCGGUGAAAUGCGCAGAUAUCAGGAGGAACACCGGUGGCGAAGGCGGUUCUCUGGGAAUGUUCUGACGCUGAGGAGCGAAAGUGUGGGGAGCGAACAGGAUUAGAUACCCCAGUAGUCCCUGUCUCUUAUAU